RNAcentral lists this long non-coding RNA (359 nucleotides) under Phoenix dactylifera (date palm). Its description in RNAcentral is "long non-coding RNA (PDAC_LNC007956)". Lineage: Eukaryota; Viridiplantae; Streptophyta; Magnoliopsida; Arecales; Arecaceae. The record is from RNAcentral.
GCAGUGGAUGCUUUCUUAAAUUAUUUGAAUGAAUUAAACUAAAGCAAAGAUGAAAGAAAAUGCAAGAAUAACCAUAAGAACAAGCACAACACAAACACAACGAUAUAUAGUGGUUCGGUGCAUCCCAAGGCACCUACGUCCACUCCCCAAGCGUUAUCUUGGGAAUUUUACUAUAACCCCUCAGAUUACAGUAGGAUUGUUUUUCGGGCUCACAAUCCAAAACCUUUACAAUUUGGUUUUUCGGGAUCACCAAUAACCUAUGUUGAUUUUACGGGCUCACCAACGAACCUUCACAAUUGGUUUUACGGGCUCACCAACAAACCUACGUUGGUUUUACGGGUUGACCAACAACCUACGUU